UGGUGUUCACAUAGGUGUCCUUCUUAUAACUCCUCUACACAUCCCAAACCCCUCUCAGGUUCCUCCUCUUAAAUACGUUCUCGCAGAGGUGCAGCCACCGUCACUAAUUGGCUCGGCCCUGGCCACAGGCAGGUCUGACGUGGAGCUGGGGGAGCUUCGAGAAGCUUCU
Long non-coding RNA from Tyto alba (common barn owl), 169 nucleotides. RefSeq lists it as uncharacterized. The record is from RefSeq and is a predicted model, not a curated record. The transcript is spliced from 3 exons. NCBI's taxonomy places the organism in Eukaryota, Metazoa, Chordata, Aves, Strigiformes, Tytonidae.